Long non-coding RNA from Hippocampus zosterae (dwarf seahorse), 630 nucleotides. RefSeq lists it as uncharacterized. NCBI's taxonomy places the organism in Eukaryota, Metazoa, Chordata, Actinopteri, Syngnathiformes, Syngnathidae. The transcript has 3 exons. The record is from RefSeq and is a predicted model, not a curated record.
GACGCUUGUCGCACUUUUCAACCGUUUCUCACUUCUGUCUUCUUGAUUUAAGAGAGGCGGAGGCGGAGGCGACGCAAAAACACAACACGCAUUGUGAAGACCUGUUCCCGAAGAGAAAAGUCACCACGUAAAUGGAAAUGUCAGAAAGGUGAAGGUGGGAGGAAACUGGAAUACCCAGAGAAAACCCACGCGGUCAAGGGGAGAACAUGCAAAGUCCACACAGGAAGGCUGGGGCUGGACUCAAACCCCUCACCACUGCACUAAAAUCGAUCAAAGGAUCUCCACUGCGGCCCGCGGACUGCCAGUUGUCCUUCCCUGUGAUAAAUGCAUGAAGGGUUCAUUUGCUCUCAAGUAGCACUGCAUUACGAUGCAAUCACAUGUCAAUGGUAGAUUGGUUGUGAGAAGACACAAAGACACACAAAUCUGCAAACAGCAAAGAGAAAUAUUAAAUAAAAAGAGACAGUUCCUUCUCGGUUGUCUGCACGGGAAGCAAGACCACAACCACAAAGGCCCAGCAUGCACCUGGCUACAGUCGCUCCCAGUGAGCAUGCGUGCAGGCACACAUACUCAUCCACCUACCCCCCACCCCCACACACAUACACACACACACACACACGCGCACGCACGCAC